Molecule: long non-coding RNA, 1294 nt
Organism: Patiria miniata (bat star)
Lineage: Eukaryota; Metazoa; Echinodermata; Asteroidea; Valvatida; Asterinidae
Exons: 4
Source: RefSeq, a predicted model, not a curated record
GAGUUUGUAUUACAAGAGCGGUUUGGAAAUAUAUAAACUUCCUGCUGUCACUGAGAGAAUGAUUGUCUCUGACAUCAACCAGACAGCAUACUGCAGCGUUGCUUGAUACAAAGAACAGAGAAGUACACUGAAGAUACAUCCACAGACAUUUCCUUUGAACGGCAUUGAAUUUCCCACUUCUCACAAUGAAGAUGUUACUGGUCACUCUUCUGAUAAUCGGCUUGAUUGCUGGUACUGUGAUGACUAGUGAAGCAGCUAGUCUGCAAGGACGGAGUGAUGGCGAUUCUGGCCAACAUGCAGUCAGUGAAGAACGUCAAGUACGGGAUGACGUAGGCUGCGGCUAUUUCGAGGAUCCUUGCACUACAGAUCCUAGUGGCUGUUGUGCGUGGCAAUGGUAAUAACCUUCGCUGGCGGGAGAUAAGAAGGAGGCAAGUAUCACCGCUCUGCCUCUCCCUAGCGUCUGACCUCUCAUCUGCGCCUUCAUUUCAGAAAGAAAAAAAUCCCCGCGUCAAACCGAACUUUGAUGGAAGUAUUUCGUCUUAGAUCUCCUUUGCCAUAGCUAUACUCGUUCAUGGCAGAUAUUCAGAUAGCAUCUCGAAUUCCAUUUCAGUAACAAAAUUUAACAUUAUGAAAAUACCUUUAAACUGGGGUUCCUAUAAUGAACUAAAAAAUCAUUGUAUUUUCGUGAAAGAUGACCCAUACAACUUGACGGGAUGACAUCUUUAAUCAACAAGUAGAUUGUAGACAAAUAUUGGUUGGUGGCCGGAUAAUCUCUCAAAAUGCAAACAUCCCCGAAAUCUUGUUGAUCAAAAUCAAAGACUAAAAUAAUAAACCUAAUCAAAACACCAAAACCGUGCAAAAUGUGCAACUCAGUGACCGUCAUGCUUGUCAUUAAUUUGAUAGUUCAGUUAGGAGGAUUUUAUUGAUAAAAACUCGUAGGAUUCUCUGUGUCAGACCUAAAUAUUAAAGGAAUUUUAGGAAAAUUCAUUGAGUUGAAAAAUAUUACACAUGCAUUUUGUUUAGCUGUGGACAACCGCCCAACAAAUCAUCAUGUCUUUCCGUUAAUUAGUUAGUUCGUUACCUAGUUACAGUACUGUUUAGUAACAAACGAACAUUCUGCACAGCCGCAGCUCAAAUAUUAAACCGAAAACCGGAGGCCAUUUUGCAAAAGGUAUUUAUUCUGGAUUGCCAUAGAGGACGCUAAACUACCUAUUAAAAUAUUUUUUCCGAACGCUAUGGGUAGUUUAAGACUUACACAAACUUGAGAACUUCAAAAAUAAACACUGCUUAUAUA